GAUGAACGCUGGCGGCGUGCCUAACACAUGCAAGUCGAACGAGGUAUUUUGAUUGAAGUUUUCGGAUGGAUUUCAAGAUACCGAGUGGCGGACGGGUGAGUAACGCGUGGGUAACCUGCCUCAUACAGGGGGAUAACGGUUAGAACUGACUGCGAAUACCGCAUAAGCGCACAGUACCGCAUGGUACGGUGUGAAAAACUCCGGUGGUAUGAGAUGGACCCGCGUCUGAUUAGCUAGUUGGUGGGGUAACGGCCCACCAAGGCGACGAUCAGUAGCCGACCUGAGAGGGUGAUCGGCCACAUUGGGACUGAGACACGGCCCAGACUCCUACGGGAGGCAGCAGUGGGGGAUAUUGCACAAUGGAGGAAACUCUGAUGCAGCGACGCCGCGUGAGUGAAGAAGUAUUUCGGUAUGUAAAGCUCUAUCAGCAGGGAAGAAAAUGACGGUACCUGACUAAGAAGCCCCGGCUAACUACGUGCCAGCAGCCGCCGUAA
Molecule: ribosomal RNA, 494 nt
Filed under: uncultured bacterium
Lineage: Bacteria
Description: partial 16S ribosomal RNA
Rfam family: Bacterial small subunit ribosomal RNA
Source: RNAcentral